UACAGAGGUCCCAAGCGUUGUUCGGAUUCAUUGGGCGUAAAGGGUGCGUAGGUGGCGGGGUUAGUCAGGUGUGAAAUCUCGGGGCUCAACCCCGAAACUGCACUUGAUACUGCCUUGCUAGAGUACUGGAGAGGAGAUUGGAAUUUACGGUGUAGCAGUGAAAUGCGUAGAUAUCGUAAGGAAGACCAGUGGCGAAGGCGAAUCUCUGGACAGUUACUGACACUGAGGCACGAAGGCCAGGGGAGCAAACGGG
RNAcentral lists this ribosomal RNA (253 nucleotides) under uncultured bacterium. RNAcentral's name for it is "partial 16S ribosomal RNA". It matches the Rfam family "Bacterial small subunit ribosomal RNA", at positions 524 to 776 of the family's 1533-position model. The record is from RNAcentral.